Molecule: ribosomal RNA, 418 nt
Filed under: Staphylococcus aureus
Lineage: Bacteria; Bacillati; Bacillota; Bacilli; Caryophanales; Staphylococcaceae
Description: bacterial SSU rRNA
Rfam family: Bacterial small subunit ribosomal RNA
Source: RNAcentral
UUUUAUGGAGAGUUUGAUCCUGGCUCAGGAUGAACGCUGGCGGCGUGCCUAAUACAUGCAAGUCGAGCGAACGGACGAGAAGCUUGCUUCUCUGAUGUUAGCGGCGGACGGGUGAGUAACACGUGGAUAACCUACCUAUAAGACUGGGAUAACUUCGGGAAACCGGAGCUAAUACCGGAUAAUAUUUUGAACCGCAUGGUUCAAAAGUGAAAGACGGUCUUGCUGUCACUUAUAGAUGGAUCCGCGCUGCAUUAGCUAGUUGGUAAGGUAACGGCUUACCAAGGCAACGAGGCAUAGCCGACCUGGGAGGGUGAUCGGCCACACUGGAACUGAGACACGGUCCAGACUCCUACGGGAGGCAGCAGUAGGGAAUCUUCCGCAAUGGGCGAAAGCCUGACGGAGCAACGCCGCGUGAGUG